Molecule: long non-coding RNA, 3419 nt
Filed under: Gallus gallus (chicken)
Lineage: Eukaryota; Metazoa; Chordata; Aves; Galliformes; Phasianidae
Description: lncRNA (ENSGALG00010020442.1)
Source: RNAcentral
UGUGACUGUAAAGCUGAACAGAUGCUUUUCCUGGGACUGGGUAUUAAUGUGGGCUGGUGUUGAAGGUGUGUAAAUGAACCUUGUGCAAACUUGCAUCAAAAUGCAGGAGUCUUUUUAUGUGGGAGGAGAUCCUUAUCUUUAGGAAAUUGGGUAUGCAAUGCUGCAGAGAUUUCUUCCAGUAGAAGGCGCACGCAGGCAUUGUAAGCAAGGCCAAAAGCUUUGAGAGCCCAAUGAGCAAAGGGAGAGGAAUAGAGAACUUUCCCCACCAGGAAAUUUUAAAGCCAGUAAUAAACCAUCCUGCAUGUACAGACAUGCAUAUAUGUUAAAUGUGGGUAUAUUUACUUCUGCCAUCUCCACCUUGACAGAGAAACCUGCAGGUUUCUUUUCAGCCAUACAAGCAAUUGCUUUAUGGUCUCAAAAAUCUGAAGGUUAAAUUGGAUUACAUAGGAACCUGGAAAAUUAAAACAAAAGUACAGUUUUCUCCCAGAAAUGGAUGUAUGCCUUCCAUUAAAUGAAAGAAAACAAACAAGAAAUGGGGAUAAAGCACAGUGAAGGUAAUGCCAGUGGGUUACACACUAGUUAGCCAGGCAGAUGUGUAGAUACGAUUUGUGUAAUGACUGAGUUACCAGAAAAAUGGCUUCAAGAAAAAAAGUUAUACUGAAAGACUGUGCCUCUUUGCAGAGCUUCACAGUAAUUAUAGGAAACAGGAAACUUGAGGGCAAAAGGGCAUUUCUUUAAUUAUCAACAGUAAUUUAUCUUGGCUAAAUGGGAUACAAUAAAAGAUGCUUAAUUUUAAACACACUCCCUCCCUUUGCUCUGCUUCUCCCAUUGGAAACUCUGGGAGACUGCUAUGGGAAUGCAGAACGCUCUCAUGGGUGCUGUAGAUGUUCAAGAACCAACAGAAGCUGUUUGUUCCCUUGGUUUUUGUACAUCAAGCAUCUCCCUGGGCACAAACGUGAUGCAGAAGAGUGACACAGCUCAGAGGACUGCAGAUGCUCACUCCUGUGCCUCCACACUUACAGUACUGCACAGCAGUGCUUUGGUGACGGUACCCACUGAAGGUAACAUGAAAGAGAGUGAAAUCCUUAAGCGUUCCCAUGGAAAAGCACACACUGCGGCCAAACAGCGCACAAGUUUUCCUGUGUCUAACCAUACACUGCAGGUCUGGCUGAAGGCACAGGAAUUUACCCACGCUUUGCAGUGCAGGCUUUCUGGUUGCUGCCACAGCAGUGCUCAGGAGAAGGGGAUGGAACAAUUUCCAGUGGGCGCACAGCAGUUCCAACUCAAAUCCUCUCCUUGUCUCUCCCAGCCAGGUGGGCGGGGGGCAGAGCAGGGCCACAGAGCUGCCCAGGAGAGGUUUGUAUUUAUUCCCCCUACUCUGUUUGCAGACGGGACUGACCUGUUGUCAUAGGUUGAGUCUAGAGGGCUUGGUGUUGGACCUCUCACUGCCAGACAGACAUUGAGGUACUGGAGUGUGCCUGUGUGCAGAGAGGGGAACGGAGCUGUGAGGGCUCUGGAGCACACAUCUGAUGGGGAGCUGCUGAGGGAGAGGGGGGUGGGGGGGGCAGUGUGGAGAAGGGGCUCAGGGGAGACUUUAGAGCCCUCCACAACUGCCUGAAAGGAGGUGGUGCUGGGAUGUGGGUAGGCCUCUGCUCCCAGGUAACAGCAAUAGCACAGAGGGAACGGCCUUGAGUUGUGCCAGGGAGGGUCAGGUUGGGCGUUAGGAAACAUUUCUUCCUCCAAAUUGCUGUCAGGUGCUGCAAUGGGCUGCACAGGGAGUGGUGCAGUCACCGUGCCUGGAGGUGUUCAGGGAGCACGGGGCUGUUGUACCGAGGGCCAUGGCGGUAUUGGUGGUAGGUGGGCAGCUGGACUGGGUGAUCUCGGAGGUCUUCUCCAGCCUGAGUGAUUCGAUGGUUCUAUGGGGAAGACCACAAUCAGCCCCUGGUUUUAUGUUAGACUGACAGCACUCAGUGGUCUCAGAUGGUUUCCUGCACUGCCUCCUGCUCCAGUUCAUGCAGAACCCGGACAAACCUGCAGAGCGUGCAGUGCCAUUUCUUGUACAGAAAAGGUGAGGGAAGCUUCCAUCGUUACAGCUGUCCUUCAGUGGUGUUUAUCAGCCAGAAGCAUGGAGGAGCUGGCUCUAUACCUGUAGACAAACACAGGCUUGGAGACUGACAGGCUCCACAGUGGGUCACCAUUCAUCCAUCAUUUUAGCCUUCAUUUUUUUUUUCUCUUUUGUCUGCUUAUUUGUAUAAGUUGUGAACUGCAUUGUACCUACCAUAGCAAUUCCAUGGAUUUUGGCCACAAGGUGGCAUCUGGUUUCAUAAUCUUCCUUUGCAAUAUCACUUCUUUUUCCCAGUCUUGAUGGACCAAUGCCCAGUUUCUCACAGCAGAUUACAGCCUCCUUUCCUUCUGCCUUACGGAGUGCCUCCAGGAGCGCACGCAGUGUGACUUUGUGGCCUUCUGACUCCCAUAGGUGGGGCUGCCAGCAGCGGUGGUGACCUUCAUGGCACUGCUCUGUAACUGCCAUCCUCCACCCUUGCCAUGUGUUAACUGCUGUGUGCGUUAGGAUUGUUGCCUGGUCAGGGAGAACUGCCACACGGAGCUCUUUUCACCUGUGAAGUGGCGUGAAGUUCCUUGAAGCUGCUAGGAAAGCUGGUCUCGGGCUGGGCCCUGCCUCCAGGAAAGCACCCUACAACUUCUUAGUUCUCAGUGAGCUUUCUAAAGCCAGGGAUAAGGCUUCCUUCUUUCUGCUUCUGCGUAUCUCCCACGUGCCUGCAUUUGGGGGAUGAAAAACACUGACUUGGAGGGCCAACAAGAAACCCAGCGAGCUCUGUUUUGCAGCAAGUAACUACAGCACCUGUGCUCCUGACCCAUCAAAGGAAGCAAUACUAGAAGGUGCCAAGUGGACCUUAAGUGUUUUAAAUAACAACCCAGCUGCUGGGGAAUGAAGGCUCAGCAGUGCGUGUCCAGAUGAUCCUACAGCCCACCACAAACAUCUGUGGGGGCUCUUUGCAGAUUAGAGACCACAGGGUGAGGACCUCUGUCAGCCAGGAUGGGAGACCACCUCGGAGCCUGAGGUGUGGGUGGAUGCUGGGCAGGCACACAGUGAGUGAUGGACGAGGCAGCAGGUAUUCAGCUUUGUUACUGCUGAACUGAUGGAUCAAGGAAAACGGGAGAAGUAUCUUUCAUAGAGCCUUUUAGAUGAAGAACACCUUCAAGAUCAUCACAUCCAACUAUCGACUUGACUUACUGAGUCCCUUAGUGCCAUGUCUUACAACUCCUACAUGGCUCCAGGGAUGGGGACUCCACCGCUGCCCAGGCAGCCCAUUCCAGUGUCUGACCACCCAUUCCAGUGUCUGACCACCCAUUCCAGUGUCUGACCACCCUCUCCAUGAAGAAAUUCUUCUUAGCGCCCG